CAAUAGCGUAUAUUAAAGUUGUUGCAGUUAAAAAGCUCGUAGUCGGAUUUCGGGUCGGGCGGGGCGGUCUGCCGAUGGGUAUGCACUGUCUUGCGCGGCCUUCUUUCCGGAGACCGCGGCUACUCUUAACUGAGCGGUCGCGGGAGACGGAUCGUUUACUUUGAAAAAAUCAGAGUGUUUCAAGCAGGCAGCUCGCUCUUGCAUGGAUUAGCAUGGGAUAAUGAAAUAGGACUCAGGUGCUAUUUUGUUGGUUUCGAACACCGGAGUAAUGAUUAACAGGGACAGUCAGGGGCACUCGUAUUCCGUCGAGAGAGGUGAAAUUCUCAGACCAAUGGAAGACGAACCACUGCGAAAGCAUUUGCCAGGGAUGUUUUCACUGA
Molecule: ribosomal RNA, 380 nt
Filed under: uncultured eukaryote
Lineage: Eukaryota
Description: partial 18S ribosomal RNA
Rfam family: Eukaryotic small subunit ribosomal RNA
Source: RNAcentral